This is a long non-coding RNA of Sardina pilchardus (European sardine), 1048 nucleotides long. RefSeq lists it as uncharacterized. NCBI's taxonomy places the organism in Eukaryota, Metazoa, Chordata, Actinopteri, Clupeiformes, Clupeidae. The transcript has 7 exons. The record is from RefSeq and is a predicted model, not a curated record.
CAGCAGAGGAUUCCAAAACGGACCCGCCCUCAAGCCGCCACAUCCGCGUGACAGUCACCUCCGUUUUGGCUACGCGCACGGAACACGACCCGCCUCCGCCAGCGCGCCUUCGUGCAGCGGGUCUGCGGCGGACUCCGUGCGGAUACGCACAUCGAACGCGCCCUUUCCAGUCCUAACGGCUUCCUCAGUUUUCAAAUUUCUCGUUGAUGAAGUGGAAGACGAAACAGCGGCGUCUGAAGGCACACUGUCAUUCACAAGUGGCCACAGUCUGGUUUGGGGGUCUACGCUUUCUCGUCCUGUCCUGCCACCCAAGUAAAGUUAUUCACAAGUGGCUCCAGUCUGGUUUGGAGGUCUAUGCUUUCUCAUCCUGUCCUGCCAUUCAAGUAAAGUCAUUCACAAGUGGCUUCAGUCUGCUUUGGGGGUCUAUGCUUUCUCAUCCUGUCCUGCCACCCAAGUAAAGUUAUUCACAAGUGGCUCCAGUCUGGUUUGGGGGUCUACGCUUUCUCAUCCUGUCCUGCCAUUCAAGUAAAGUUAUUCACAAAUGGCUCCAGUCUGGUUUGGGGGUCUACACUUUCUCAUCCUGUCCUGCCACCCAAAUAAAGUGCUGUGAGGAAAAACACAGAAACAUGGUCAGCCAACGACGCGGUGGUCACGAAGUACGCAAUCAGGUGGUUCAACGAGGAGACCUGUCCUGCCUCCAGCCACACCAAACGGAUUAAUAGGAGAAAUAAACAUUAAACAUUGAACUAAUUGUCGUUCACCAGUUAUUCAUUUUCUGAUAUUUUAGCUGUGCAUAUAUAUAGCGCAGCAUUUCAUUGAAGUUGUAGCCUACUGGUAAUAGGUAAAAUGUUUCAUGUCUGCACCGACCUAGGCCUAUAAAGCACUAAAUUAGUUUAGAGUAGUUAGAAUUUAGAGUAGUAUAGCCAAGGCUACUUAACAGAAACAGAAUAGGCUAUAACUUAAACUUUCCAUUAAUGUAAAUGUCAAUUUCAUGUUUCCAUUGAGCCAAGUGAUUAUUCUCUACAGUAAAUUGAUGUCUUGACUUAAG